This 392-nucleotide ribosomal RNA is filed under the name uncultured bacterium. Its description in RNAcentral is "partial 16S ribosomal RNA". It matches the Rfam family "Bacterial small subunit ribosomal RNA", at positions 523 to 918 of the family's 1533-position model. The record is from RNAcentral.
AUACGGAGGAUCCGAGCGUUAUCCGGAUUUAUUGGGUUUAAAGGAUGCGCAGGCGGCCAUUUAAGUCAGCGGUUAAAUCGUGGGGCUCAACCCCAUUCUGCCGUUGAUACUGGGUGGCUUGAUUGCGGUCGAGGUUGGCGGAAUUCGUUGUGUAGCGGUGAAAUGCAUAGAUAUGACGAAGAACACCGAUUGCGUAGGCAGCUGACCAGACCGCAAAUGACGCUCAUGCACGAAAGUGCGGGGAUCGAACAGGAUUAGAUACCCUGGUAGUCCGCACAGUAAACGAUGAAUACUUGUUUUCGGCGAUAUAAUGUCGGAGGCAAAGCGAAAGCGAUAAGUAUUCCACCUGGGGAGUACGCCGGCAACGGUGAAACUCAAAUGAAUUGACGGGG